GUUUAUUGAUGGUAGCUCGCGAAGCUCCUCGUGAAUAUCGAGUGGAUUACAAAGAGGCGCUUGGGUUCGAAGUUGUUGGAUUAAUUCACUUUAGCAACACUUAUUUAGCGAUACGACGGAACUCGAUCGAGCGUCGACAUCGUUCGUCGCGUGUUCCUUUUACACUCUCCCUUUCUUCACUUUUACGAAAAUCAAAACGAACAAAAAGGUCCGCUACGGACAUAAUAAUUGCUACGACGUUCCAUCUCUAUCGUCCGUUUUUUUUUUCAGAUCGAUUUCGCCCAGUUUACCCUUUCCUUGUCCAUCCCUGUUCCAUGCCUCGAACGAAGAGGAAGGACCAGAAUCGAGGAAAAGGGACUUUUUGGUAACCGGAGAAGGGGAUGUUACACACGAAACAUUAAUAUUCUCGUUUCGGUUGAUACAGGCAAAAUGCUACGGGCUCGUUAAGGACUGUGACCGUUUACAUUCAUAAUAAUUCCGUGAUUUACUCCUCACUGUACCUGUGAUUCUAUUAAAGCUUGUUCACGAAUUUUCCCUGGUGGCAGCAGCUUUUACAUUCGGGGUAAUAACGGAUAUCGUUACGAACUCAAACAAAAAGCGAUACGUUUGACAGAGAAAAAGAAGACCUUAUCUUCAGGACCGCUUACGGGUCUGUCACGAGUUUGCCCUCGUAGCAGCGGUUUUAUCGCUGCCAGCAAUGUGAUACAAAGUGGAUAUUCCAGUGUAAAAAAAACGUUAUAUUUAACAAACAACAUGAAAGAAAAAAAGUAUGGGUUCUCCCACUCUUGUUACCAUUUUCGCCAUCGCUGCCCCAAAGGUUACCAUCAGGAAAUUCCAUGGACAGGCUGCAUUAAGCUUACUCCACGCCUACAUACUUUUGCCCGCAAAAAAUGGAAAUAAAUGUAGAGGUAACUUGAGAAGAAUCCAAGGAAAGGGAGAGACUGAGGUAUUACGAAGAAAGCUUAAGGAACACAAGGAAAUUCUAGGAAGAUCUUUAAGAUAGCCCAGGGAGAACAAAGAAGACUAACUUAAAUAUUUUUCUUCAAGUAAACAAUAGUCUAUGUUGCACAUGAGUGUACGCAAUGAAGACUGGUAUAUUGAUAAAAUAAUACCCAGAAAAAUUACGUAAAUGUAAGAAAAUAAAAUGAAAGGGUCUACAAAAAAAAUCAGCGCAUCUAACAACAAGAUUGGGCAAAUGUUUAGUUUGUAAAUGAAAUAUCUGUAUGUAGGUUUGGAUUAAGAUUUUACAAUUAGUAUCAAUGAAAAUACUUUCACGAUGAAACUUUUUCGCUUUUUCUCAGUCUGUGAAGUUAGUUCGAUAAAAAUACCAGGAAUACGUAAGAUAUUGUUGAAUAGAUGUUACAUAUGGGUAAACGAACGAACGAGUCGAGUGAGGGGAAUACGAUUUCGAUUUGUACUUGUGAAAUCAUAACGGAACGGAGGUGUGCUAAUGCAAACAAUUCUAUCGAUGCGAUCCGAUGUGACGAUAUUUACUUCUACGUAAUAAAUAACAAAAUGGGAUUUAACUUUAUUUCGAACUCCAUUAAAAAUGAAAACUCUUGACGCUGCACAUUGAUACGGUUUUCGUUUCCACGCACGAACAAACAUUGUUUAUUUGUUUAUUAUACAAAGGACUUAAACGCUAAAGUGACGCGAAAAGUUGUUAAUGAACAUACAUAGGUCAAAGGUGAGAUGUUUGUAAUUUCUAAAUGUGAUUUAAUUAACGUUUGUUCGCGCGCGAAAGCGCAAAAGGACGCAAGGUGACAUGGCACGAUAGCUUAAUUAUUAAACGAUAAAAGGAGAGGGAACGGAUAUGGUACUUACAACCCUUUGCACUUGAAACGUUUUACAUGUUUUCUUCCUGUCGUGAACGAUGGUGUCGAAACGAAAAUUCGUUAAACCUCAACUAUUAUUAGCGAAAAGGUCUCUAAUAUUUCCAGCUAAAUAUGGAACCUCCAUUAUCUGAAAUUCGAAUAUUUUCGCAAAAAGAGCCUGUAUUUGGUUCACUCUGUGUACUCCGUCCCUCUCGUCAAUAAACUCUAAAGUUUCAAAUAAUUAGUAACUACAAAGCUUUCACAGUAUUGCAAAAAGAACUAAUAAAAUUCUGGAUAAUCGAAUAGUUUCUCUAAUCAGAAUUCUAUGUCGUCUUUCUAUUUACGUGGAUAAUGAAGGUUCUACUGUAACACUAAUAAACGAAUGACAGUAUUGUAUUUGUUAACAUACAAGUACAACAGGUUCCCAAAACUGUAAGACGCGUCGAAAAGAAAGGGAUUCUAGUUAAUUCGCCUGCUUUCAUACGUAUUUACAAGACGCCUGUAAACGGACAUCUGAGAUGUAAUUAACACAUUCGUGGUCGUCAUUUAAAUUUACAAACUCAUCGUUUUUAAAAACAAAUUCCCCAAUUUCUUUGGGUGAAUUUAAAAAUCUUCAAAUUGAUCGUAGAAUUGCCAGCCACGAAAGCGUUAAUUGUUAUAACUCGUGUAUCACGCCUAUCGCACUAACGAGGCUAUCGUCGGACGAUGGCAAUCGUUUGUCGAUAAUAAAAACACGGCCUUCAACUCUGUAGGCUCGCAAUUAAACAUUUAAACUUCGUAUACCGCAUAGACGUGUCUAUCGCAAUCGAUUCUUUGCCUCGGUAGGUGCAUACAGUAGGCCUUGGUACUCAUUCUGUGAAAUUACAUUUUUUUUGACAUAUCUGACACAUCUUUUGACCAUGUGGAUGGUAACUCUGUACGUAGCUUAGCGUGAAGCUUAUGAUAUUUAGAGGUACAUACGGUUACAAUAGAGGCCUCUGUUAAAAGAGAGUGUAGGAUUUUUUCAAUUUUUAAACUCAUGGAGGGUUACUUAGAACUUAAGGAGGGUUCAGAAAGAAGGGUAAAGAAGGUUCCUACACUUUCUGUUAACUGAGGAAAACCUAUACGUGACCGUAUAAUUACAUACAAUUCUCUAACGUUAAUUAAUUCGUAUAAUUAUAAGUACCGCACGCAAUGAACGAUUUACAAUUAAGACACGUCGUAGCCAAAUGUUUAAAGUACGAAGAUCUAACACGAGCCAUAUAGCAUUCAUAAAAUUGACAAACCUGUCUCGUCAUAAAUCGCGAUAAGUCUCUGUGCGCAGUGUCUGGAACGCUGCACGAGCUGCAAUUCUCUGUCGUUAUAUUAAAAUAAGAAUAUAUAAAAUUAUAAAACUAUCAACAAAUGUACACGUCGACAAACAAUGUCUCGAAAAUGAUAAAACUUCUCAGAGGGAACGAGAAAACGCUGCCGACUUUCGGGUCUGGAUGUUCCUAUUUCUGACGGGAAAAUUCCAGGAAAAUUAAAUUGCAAAUAUCCCUUAACUUAUAAAUCUUGUAUACUCAUAAAUAAGAUAGUUCUUCGAUCAGAUUGAAAGAAAUCGUUGCAACUAUCAAGAGUUAUAACUAAACUGGGAAAUAGGCCAACGAUAAAUUAUAAUCUUGUAAUAAUCGUAACUCGUUUGCUAAAGCAAAUAUCUUAAAAUAAAACAAAAGAUUGAAUAAACCCAACUCGAAAGUCGACGAUUGCGACAACACAAUAGGUGUAGGCAAAUUGAGCUUUGGUCAAGGUGACCAGUUUUGUGCAAUGAAAAUGUGAACGAAGGUAGGAAAGUCGUGUAAAUUUUUGGCGCAUGUAAUUCACCGGUGUGUUCUUGAUUCUCGAGGGUAACCUUUUUGUAUUGACUAAACUCAGAAUCUUUUUGAGCGAUGAUCCACUAGCUACCUGUACUUUCUGUGCUUUAUUAUCUUUUUUUUUGUAUUUCACCCUUUCACUGCAGAUCGCUGCCAUUUGAAUAAUUCAUUUAUUUCCGGUUUAUUAUAGCUCGAUCUAGAUUUAACGCAUCUACUACGUCGUCUACAGCGAAAGAGUUAAACGUAAUGUCCAAAAGGGGAGUGUUCUAAAUACUUUUUUCUCUUUUUUUGUUUCGGUAUAUCAACGUUAGCUACAAAACGUUCUAAAACCCUGAGAUACGAAUUCGAAAACCUCAAUGCGUUUCUAUGAGAAAAUUAGUCGUGAUAGUCAGGUUUCCUGAUGGUUUUCAAAGUGUACCCUCUCAGCACGCAAUAAAACGUUUGCAAAAAUUGACAAUACAUCUGGUAUUUUGCGAAACGAACAAGAAGUCGAGAUGGAAUUCAAAGUGAGCCAUCUUCGAGGGAUCACUAGUGUCAACUGAAUGUAUCGACGAAUAGAAAUUAAUGUAUACCGUGUUUAUCGCGUGCUGCAGAAUAAGUAUAAAUACUCGAGGUAUAAAAGUGCGGUGUUGUGCGCAACGCAGCUAAACAAUAUGAAAUAUACUUAUCGACUUGGAAUCAAAUUGUGCUUCCAAAUCGAUUACGUCGAAACAUCGUUGUACGAUACCAACAACAGAAAAAUUGAUCCGGAACAAAAUUCCGUAAAAUUCUUAGUCAGAGCGAUAGCGAACCGUAUACGGAAUGUUUCAAAGUUAAAUAAUUAAACUUUGUAUGUUCCGCGAGUAACAGAAAUGAGUAUUAUAUAAAAAUAGAUUCGAAAAGAAGAAGGUUAAUGUUCUCAAUAAUUUUAGAUAGCAAAUAUGUAGAACAGAUAGAAUGAAAAAUUGCAAUUGCUUUCGUAUCGAUAGAACGCUACAAAGGUUAAUCGCUUAAUUUUGAAACAGCCUGUACGUGCAAAUUUCAG
Molecule: long non-coding RNA, 4670 nt
Organism: Megachile rotundata (alfalfa leafcutting bee)
Lineage: Eukaryota; Metazoa; Arthropoda; Insecta; Hymenoptera; Megachilidae
Source: RefSeq, a predicted model, not a curated record